RNAcentral lists this ribosomal RNA (434 nucleotides) under uncultured bacterium. RNAcentral describes it as "bacterial SSU rRNA". It matches the Rfam family "Bacterial small subunit ribosomal RNA", at positions 30 to 484 of the family's 1533-position model. The record is from RNAcentral.
AGUGAACGCUGGCGGCAGGCCUAACACAUGCAAGUCGAGCGGCAGCGCGGGGGCAACCCUGGCGGCGAGCGGCGGACGGGUGAGGAAUGCAUCGGAAUCUACCUCGUUGUGGGGGAUAACCUCGGGAAACCGGGACUAAUACCGCAUACGACCUACGGGUGAAAGUGGGGGACCUUCGGGCCUCACGCGAUGAGAUGAGCCGAUGCCGGAUUAGCUAGUUGGCGGGGUAAAGGCCCACCAAGGCGACGAUCCGUAGCUGGUCUGAGAGGAUGAUCAGCCACACUGGAACUGAGACACGGUCCAGACUCCUACGGGGGGCAGCAGUGGGGAAUAUUGGACAAUGGGCGCAAGCCUGAUCCAGCCAUGCCGCGUGUGUGAAGAAGGCCUGGUUGUAAGACACUUUACCUAGGAGUGAGUAAUGACAGUACCUGGAG